AUUGAACGCUGGCGGCAUGCCUUACACAUGCAAGUCGAACGGCAGCACGGGUGCUUGCACCUGGUGGCGAGUGGCGAACGGGUGAGUAAUACAUCGGAACGUACCUUAUCGUGGGGGAUAACGCAGCGAAAGCUGUGCUAAUACCGCAUGCGCCCUGAGGGGGAAAGCGGGGGAUCGAAAGACCUCGCGCGAUUAGAGCGGCCGAUGUCUGAUUAGCUGGUUGGUGGGGUAAAAGCCCACCAAGGCGACGAUCAGUAGCUGGUCUGAGAGGACGAUCAGCCACGCUGGGACUGAGACACGGCCCAGACUCCUACGGGAGGCAGCAGUGGGGAAUUUUGGACAAUGGGGGCAACCCUGAUCCAGCAAUGCCGCGUGAGUGAAGAAGGCCUUCGGGUUGUAAAGCUCUUUUGUCAGGGAAGAAACACCGGCUCUAACACAGUCCGGGAAUGACGGUACCUGAAGAAUAAGCACCGGCUAACUACGUGCCAGCCGCCGCAGUAA
Molecule: ribosomal RNA, 501 nt
Filed under: uncultured bacterium
Lineage: Bacteria
Description: partial 16S ribosomal RNA
Rfam family: Bacterial small subunit ribosomal RNA
Source: RNAcentral